ACUCAAAGGAAUAGACGGGGGCCCGCACAAGCGGCGGAGCAUGCGGCUUAAUUCGAUGCAACGCGAAGAACCUUACCUAGGCUUGACAUAUGCCGUUUACCCGUGGAGACACGGGGUCCGCAAGGGCGGUAUACAGGUGGUGCAUGGUUGUCGUCAGCUCGUGUCGUGAGAUGUUGGGUUAAGUCCCGCAACGAGCGCAACCCUCGUCCUAUGUUGCCAGCGGGUAAUGCCGGGGACUCAUAGGAGACUGCCGGGGUCAACUCGGAGGAAGGUGGGGAUGACGUCAAAUCAUCAUGCCCCUUAUGUCUAGGGCUGCACGCAUGCUACAAUGGUCGGUACAAAGGGCUGCGAUACCGUAAGGUGGAGCGAAUCCCAGAAAGCCGGCCUCAGUUCGGAUUGAGGUCUGCAACUCGACCUCAUGAAGUUGGAGUCGCUAGUAAUCGCAGAUCAGCAUUGCUGCGGUGAAUACGUUCCCGGGCCUUGUACACACCGCCCGU
Molecule: ribosomal RNA, 497 nt
Filed under: uncultured bacterium
Lineage: Bacteria
Description: partial 16S ribosomal RNA
Rfam family: Bacterial small subunit ribosomal RNA
Source: RNAcentral